UGGGGUGUAAAGUUCUUUCUUUCAAAACAUUUUCGUUGUUUGUAAAAAAAAAAAAAUAGGUUUAGACCUAUAAAAUUUAUGUUUACUUGGUUUUGAUAAAACUUUCUAUGGGUUUUUUUUUAUAAGUUUUUUAGCAAGAUCCUCCGCAAUCUUUUGAAGUAUUUGUUGUGGGUAUUUCAAAUUAUUUGCAAAAAGAUCCUAGUUCUUGUCUAGUUCUUUUCGUUUUCCAUUUUAAAUGUUUUUGUAAUUUUAAGUCUUGGAAGAUUUUUAAUCCUUCCUUUUGCGUGAAACUAACCAAUUCUUCAUAAGUUAAUUUAUUAUAUGGGAUUUGGUUUAUUCCAAAAAAUUAUUUGAUUUUAUUUCUAACAUUUUCUCCUAAAAGGGUUGGGAGUCCUGCAAGGAAUUUUUCCUUCCAAAAAGGUUGGUUUGAGUCUUCCCUAAGCAUAACUUUGGUUAGAAAAGUGUUUUUGUAAUGUUGGAACUCAGAAAGUUUUUUACAUAUGAGGUUUGAAAGGAGUUCUGCAUUUUUAUCUUUUAAGUGAGAUGGAUCACCUAUGAAUUGUAGACUAAUUGUGUGAAUUAGUGUUGCAACUGCAUCAGGUAUUGGGUUUCCUAACAUAUCGAGGAUGACAAUUCCUUCCUAUGUGGUUUGAAUUGCAUUUAAGAUUUCUAAUUGUUGUUGGGGAUUAAGAUGAUAAUCCCAUCAUCCUUUAAGUUGUCUUGAAAAUCCUACAAUUAGGAGUUCAACAAUGGCUUUAUCAGGUGUAUCAGAUUGGGUUUUGUAGGCAUUUGAUGCCAUCGUCAUUUGUUGAAGGAGACUAAGGAUAUUGUAUUCUGACAUACCAUUUAUGCUCCAUUCAUAGACAGUACUGGCGUUGAACUUGGACUGAGAAAGAACAUUUGGUUUGUUUUCAAUACAUUUGGUUUGUUUGCACAUAUUUUGUGGUUUUUGUUCGCCUUCAGAAACUUGGCCUAAAGUCAUAAUUGUUUUUUCUAAGGUAUCCUUAGCUACUAAUGGUGUAAAGGUAGAAGAAUGUUCUAUCCUACUAAGUUGGUCGUGCAAGACUUGGGUAAAUUCUGAUUUUCCUUCUCUAAACAGUUUUUGGCUUGUUUUUGAGAUUUCAAAUGGUUUAAAAAUUGAGUUUUUUAGUUUUGAUUUUGUUGUCUCGGUAGGGGAAACAACGAUAAUCUGUUGAUGUUCCUUUAUCUUAGUUAAUUGUUUUGCAAUUGUACUAAGAUGGACAUUUGUAAAAUUAUUUUGUUGAAGGAUAUUCGUAAUAUCUUUGUUUGGAUUAUCACUUGG
Molecule: long non-coding RNA, 1303 nt
Filed under: Cicer arietinum (chickpea)
Lineage: Eukaryota; Viridiplantae; Streptophyta; Magnoliopsida; Fabales; Fabaceae
Description: long non-coding RNA (CARI_LNC002721)
Source: RNAcentral